GAUGAACGCUGGCGGCGUGCCUAAUACAUGCAAGUCGAGCGAACGGACGAGAAGCUUGCUUCUCUGAUGUUAGCGCCGGACGGGCGAGUAACCCGUGCAUCACCUACCUAUCAGACCGGGAUCACCUCGCGCAACCGCACCUAACACCGCAUGACCCUCUCAACCGCCCGGUUCAAAACUCAAAGACGGUCUUGCCGUCACUUAUAGAUGGAUCCGCGCCGCAUUAGCUAGUUGGGAAGGUAACGGCUUACCAAGGCAACGAUGCAUAGCCGACCUGAGAGGGUGAUCGGCCACACUGGAACUGAGACGCGGUCCAGACUCCUACGGGAGGCAGCAGUAGGGAAUCUUCCGCAAUGGGCGAAAGCCUGACGGAGCAACGCCGCGUGAGUGAUGAAGGUCUUCGGAUCGUAAAACUCUGUUAUUAGGGAAGAACAUAUGUGUAAGUAACUGUGCACAUCUUGACGGUACCUAAUCAGAAAGCCACGGCUAACUACGUG
Molecule: ribosomal RNA, 497 nt
Filed under: uncultured bacterium
Lineage: Bacteria
Description: partial 16S ribosomal RNA
Rfam family: Bacterial small subunit ribosomal RNA
Source: RNAcentral